AGAAAAGUGAGUGCCGCCCCGCACAGGGGCGACGCUAAUAGACCACCAUGACUUCAAGGAAAGGCCAACACGCGAAGAGAACAACCGAGCGCGCCGCGAGUGCAGA
Molecule: small RNA, 106 nt
Filed under: Paraburkholderia bryophila
Lineage: Bacteria; Pseudomonadati; Pseudomonadota; Betaproteobacteria; Burkholderiales; Burkholderiaceae
Description: sRNA Bp1_Cand684_SIPHT
Rfam family: Burkholderia sRNA Bp1_Cand684_SIPHT
Source: RNAcentral